GAGGAAGAUGGAUGAUCACAAACCAUCAAACCACCAAACUGAACUGCUUGAAUUUUUACACCAGGAGUAAAGCAGCAUAAAGUUAUCCAAAAGCAGUGUGUAAAACUGGUGGAGGAGAACAUGAUGCCAAGAUGCAUGAAAAAAAAUGUGAUUAAAAACCAACCAGGGUUAUUCCACCAAAUAUUGAUUAUUCCUGAACUCUUAAAACUUUAUGAAUAUGAACUUGUUGUUUUCUUUGCAUUAUUUGAGGUCUGAAAGCUCUGCAUCUUUUUUGUUAUUUCAGUCAUUUCUCAUUUUCUGUAAAUAAAUGCUCUAAAUUACAA
This is a long non-coding RNA of Astyanax mexicanus (Mexican tetra), 323 nucleotides long. RefSeq lists it as uncharacterized. The transcript is spliced from 2 exons. NCBI's taxonomy places the organism in Eukaryota, Metazoa, Chordata, Actinopteri, Characiformes, Acestrorhamphidae. The record is from RefSeq and is a predicted model, not a curated record.